UAUUUAAAUAGCUUAAAUUAGAGCACAACACUGAAGAUGUUGGGGUGAUUAUUGUCUUUAAAUAA
This 65-nucleotide transfer RNA is filed under the name Trachys auricollis. RNAcentral's name for it is "tRNA-Phe". The record is from RNAcentral. Lineage: Eukaryota; Metazoa; Arthropoda; Insecta; Coleoptera; Buprestidae.